GACGAACGCUGGCGGCGUGCUUAACACAUGCAAGUCGAACGGAAAGGCCCUGCUUUUGUGGGGUGCUCGAGUGGCGAACGGGUGAGUAACACGUGAGUAACCUGCCCUUGACUUUGGGAUAACUUCAGGAAGCUGGGGCUAAUACCGGAUAGGAGCUCCUGCUGCAUGGUGGGGGUUGGAAAGUUUCGGCGGUUGGGGACGGACUCGCGGCUUAUCAGCUUGUUGGUGGGGUAGUGGCUUACCAAGGCUUUGACGGGUAGCCGGCCUGAGAGGGUGACCGGCCACAUUGGGACUGAGAUACGGCCCAGACUCCUACGGGAGGCAGCAGUGGGGAAUAUUGCACAAUGGGCGGAAGCCUGAUGCAGCAACGCCGCGUGCGGGAUGACGGCCUUCGGGUUGUAAACCGCUUUCGCCUGUGACGAAGCGUGAGUGACGGUAAUGGGUAAAGAAGCACCGGCUAACUACGUG
This 468-nucleotide ribosomal RNA is filed under the name uncultured bacterium. Its description in RNAcentral is "partial 16S ribosomal RNA". It matches the Rfam family "Bacterial small subunit ribosomal RNA", at positions 28 to 507 of the family's 1533-position model. The record is from RNAcentral.